GGAUAGAUGGCUGAGCGGCCGAAAGCACCGGUCUUGAAAACCGGCAGAUGCGCGAGUAUCUCGUGGGUUCGAAUCCCACUCUAUCUG
RNAcentral lists this transfer RNA (87 nucleotides) under Candidatus Cytomitobacter indipagum. RNAcentral's name for it is "tRNA-Ser". It matches the Rfam family "tRNA". From Rfam's summary of the family: Transfer RNA (tRNA) molecules are approximately 80 nucleotides in length. Their secondary structure includes four short double-helical elements and three loops (D, anti-codon, and T loops). Lineage: Bacteria; Pseudomonadati; Pseudomonadota; Alphaproteobacteria; Holosporales; Holosporaceae. The record is from RNAcentral.